Molecule: ribosomal RNA, 253 nt
Filed under: uncultured bacterium
Lineage: Bacteria
Description: partial 16S ribosomal RNA
Rfam family: Bacterial small subunit ribosomal RNA
Source: RNAcentral
UACAUGUGGGGCAAGCGUUGUUCGGAAUUACUGGGCAUAAAGUGUGCGUAGGUGGUUUGUUAAGUCAGGGGUGAAAUCCCGCGGCCCAACCGUGGAACUGCCUUUGAUACUGGCGAACUUGAGUGCGUGAGGGGUAGGGGGAACGAGCAGUGUAGCGGUGAAAUGCGUAGAUAUUGCUCGGAAGGCCAGAGCCGAAGGGGCCCUACUGGUGCGUAACUGACACUGAGGCACGAAAGCGUGGGGAGCAAACAAG